CACUAUAAGAAUAUAAUAUAACUUACAGCAUAACCUGCUCAAUGAAUAUAAAUAGCCGCAGUAAACUGUGCUAAGGUAGCAUAAUCACAUGCCAAUUAAUUAUUGGAUAGAAUGAAAGGUAAAACGAAUGAUAAAAAGUAUCAAUAAUAAAACACAAACUUCAUCUAAAAGUAAAAAAGCUUCACCAUAUAUGAAAGACGACAAGACCCUGACAAACUUAACUUCAACAGUUAGACUGGGGCGGUCACAAAAAACACCUUACAACAACCUUAACUCAUAACACCCCUAAUAUAUUAUAAUCAACCAGUUACUGCAGGGAUAACAGUGUCACUACCUACGAAAGCUCACAUUCAAUAGGUAACCUACAACCUCGAUGUUGAAUAACAUUCUAAUUAAAUAGAGCACAAGCUAAUUAAGAAAGUCUGUUCGACUAAUAAUAAAUUACA
This 446-nucleotide ribosomal RNA is filed under the name Monoblemma browni. RNAcentral describes it as "partial 16S ribosomal RNA". Lineage: Eukaryota; Metazoa; Arthropoda; Arachnida; Araneae; Tetrablemmidae. The record is from RNAcentral.